UGGGUGCAGGGGUCCCACAGUCAGGGGGGGUAGAGGGUCCUGGGCCAGUCUGGGAGGGGGAUCCCGGGACAAAGCUGAGGGGUGGUCCCAGAGCCCUGGGGCCGGGGCCCGCCCAGAAGGGAUGCUGGUGGGGGGAUCAUCUUUGGGGGCGGGAAGGGGGUGUCCCGGGAGGGAUGCGGUCGCUGGGGCGGGGCUGGGGGCGGACACCCCCCCGGGGGCCCGGCGGCCACAUGACCGGGCAGACGGCGGGGCCGGGCUGGGCUCUCACCGCCUACAAAUGCGGCUCCCCCGGAGCGGGGCCGCCACCGCCGCCGCCUCCGCCGUCCCGCACCCCCCCAGCAUGGCCGCGCCGCGCUGGCUCUGGGCGCUGCUGCUGCUCUGGCUCUCCCUGGCCGCCGCCGGGCCACUGGGCCAGGCGCUGGAUGGGAAAGAUGCAGGAAACGGCCUCAUCCGAACCCUGGUGCGGCCGCAGGCUGCGCGGCGCGGGGCCGGGCACCGGCCAGGUGGCUGGCGGAGGUACCGGCGGCCCCGACCCCGGCUUUCCCACAAGGGCCCCAUGCCCUUCUGAGGCAGGGUUGCCACCAGUCCUCCAGGGAUGCGGCUGCCGUUCUCUGUCCUAGCCUGCUCUGCACAUCUUCCAGCCCUGAGCGCAGGGUCCCUGUGAGCCCUCAGCUGGUGUCACCUCCUUCCCGCGGCUGUCCCUGGUGGCGCUGGCGCCGUGGGUGCCUCCUGCCUCCCUCACCACCCCUUGGGGCUGGCUGGGAGAGGGCUGCCCAUGGUGGGGCUGGGUGCUGCCGCCAUGCCCCUGUCCUGGUGGGUGUGAGGCUGCCCUGGACAUCAGCUCACCAGGACCCAUAGGCUUUGUGCAAAGCACUAUGUCACGUGGAGGAGCUUCUCUGCAGGGGUCUGUGAGCUCCUCUGGGGCUCCUGCCUCAUCCCUGCCAGUUGCCCACAAGCCAGGGUGAGCACGCAGUUUGUCCUGCUGGAGUUUCUAUUUAUUCCCACGGUGCUAACGCUGCACCCUGGGUGAGCUGCCCUCCCCUCCUUGGCAAGUGUGAGGUCCCCUUCCCUCUGACAGACCAACUCCUGGGCACCCCCAAGGUAGGGGGUGUCCACUCAGGACACAGCGUGGGGCUCUGGGCCCCCUGCCUGCUCUGCACCAUGGGGCGGCAGGAGAAUGGUGGGGCACUAGGCCCUCUAUGUCAAACACUGACAUGCCAAAGUUGGGGCCCUUGCUCUGAGUGCUGCUGGGUGCUGUUGUUCAUGUUUCUUGUGUUUGUAAAGAUUUAUUAUGUUUAAAUACAUCUUUAUAAUAAAGAGUUAUGAUGACAGUAAA
Long non-coding RNA from Columba livia (rock pigeon), 1336 nucleotides. RefSeq lists it as uncharacterized. The transcript has 3 exons. Lineage: Eukaryota; Metazoa; Chordata; Aves; Columbiformes; Columbidae. The record is from RefSeq and is a predicted model, not a curated record.